This 420-nucleotide ribosomal RNA is filed under the name uncultured bacterium. RNAcentral describes it as "bacterial SSU rRNA". It matches the Rfam family "Bacterial small subunit ribosomal RNA", at positions 356 to 774 of the family's 1533-position model. The record is from RNAcentral.
AAGGAAUAUUGGUCAAUGGACGCAAGUCUGAACCAGCCAUGCCGCGUGAAGGAUGAAGGUCCUCUGGAUUGUAAACUUCUUUUAUCUGGGACGAAAACGGGAUUUUUAUCUCAAUUGACGGUACCAGAGGAAUAAGCACCGGCUAACUCCGUGCCAGCAGCCGCGGUAAUACGGAGGGUGCGAGCGUUAUACGGAUUUACUGGGUUUAAAGGGUGCGUAGGUGGGCUUAUAAGUCAGUGGUGAAAUCUCCGAGCUUAACUUGGAAACUGCCGUUGAUACUAUAGGUCUUGAAUUAUCUGGAGGUAAGCGGAAUAUGUCAUGUAGCGGUGAAAUGCUUAGAUAUGACAUAGAACACCAAUUGCGAAGGCAGCUUACUACAUAUAAAUUGACGCUGAGGCACGAAAGCGUGGGGAUCAAACA